This 660-nucleotide long non-coding RNA is filed under the name Apteryx rowi (Okarito brown kiwi). RNAcentral's name for it is "lncRNA (ENSARWG00000011572.1)". Lineage: Eukaryota; Metazoa; Chordata; Aves; Apterygiformes; Apterygidae. The record is from RNAcentral.
AUGUUCGUGGCUAGAUGGGUAAGCUGCGACCCCACCUGCCUUUGCCUUGCUUUGCUGCUUAAUGUAACAGCAACUCAGGACCCCAGAAUAAAAACUGUUACAGUGCUUAAGGGAGGAUCUACAUCUGCCCAGGUUAGGGGACCGUCGUUAAAGCUUUGGGGAGGGGGGGAAGCUCCAAAACGAGACUCUCCCAGUGACCUUGGUGGUUUGAUUCAUUUGCAGGAUAAUAUUCUGAGGGCCGGCAACUUGAAGAGGAGCAGCUCAUCCCAUUUUGUUGAUUUCGGAGAUACUGUUUUAAGGAAGCAUGUGCUGAAGCAUAGUCCGGCAGUCGAAGGAGCAUUGUCACAGCUGGGAGCUCUGUGGAGAUCUGCGGCUGGCCAUGGAGGACGAGCUCUGACUUGCAGCAUGGACACAAGCUGGAUCCUAUUCCUGAAGGAAAAAGCAGAGGGGGUAGGCUGUCGGCUACUCACAUGCCUGCCACAUCAAGGGCAGCAGCAGGAGCUGACCCUUCCCCGACGGAUGCAUGAACGCUGGUGAGGUCAUGACUCUCCGGGUGUCACAAGGUAAGGGGAAGCAUGCUGGCACCGAGCUUCAUGGCAGACUCGCGCCCAGGUGUUGUUUCUGUGCAGUAAACAAUAAACAGUUGCUUUAUUCUUUGCA